AGUCCUGGCUUAGGAUGAACGCUAGCGGCAGGCUAACACAUGCAAGUCGAGGGGCAGCGGGAUGUAGCAAUACAUUGCCGGCGACCGGCGGAUGGGUGCGUAACGCGUAUGCAACCUACCUUAUACAGGGGAAUAACCUUUCGAAAGGGAGACUAACACCCCAUGGUAUUGAUUUAAGGCAUCUUAGAUUAAUUAAAUAUUUAUAGGUAUAAGAUGGGCAUGCGUAUGAUUAGCUAGUUGGUAAGGUAACGGCUUACCAAGGCGACGAUCAUUAGGGGUUCUGAGAGGAAGGUCCCCCCACACUGGUACUGAGACACGGACCAGACUCCUACGGGAGGCAGCAGUGAGGAAUAUUGGUCAAUGGGCGCAAGCCUGAACCAGCCAUGCCGCGUGCAGGAAAAGACGGCCUUAUGGGUUGUAAACUGCUUUUACAUAAGACUAACCGUAUAUUUGCGAAUAUACCUGAAUGUAUUAUGAGAAUAAGGAUCGGCUAACUCCGUGCCAGCAGCCGC
RNAcentral lists this ribosomal RNA (512 nucleotides) under uncultured bacterium. Its description in RNAcentral is "bacterial SSU rRNA". It matches the Rfam family "Bacterial small subunit ribosomal RNA", at positions 15 to 518 of the family's 1533-position model. The record is from RNAcentral.